This 1530-nucleotide ribosomal RNA is filed under the name Escherichia coli UMEA 3609-1. RNAcentral's name for it is "bacterial SSU rRNA". It matches the Rfam family "Bacterial small subunit ribosomal RNA". Lineage: Bacteria; Pseudomonadati; Pseudomonadota; Gammaproteobacteria; Enterobacterales; Enterobacteriaceae. The record is from RNAcentral.
AGAGUUUGAUCAUGGCUCAGAUUGAACGCUGGCGGCAGGCCUAACACAUGCAAGUCGAACGGUAACAGGAAGCAGCUUGCUGCUUCGCUGACGAGUGGCGGACGGGUGAGUAAUGUCUGGGAAACUGCCUGAUGGAGGGGGAUAACUACUGGAAACGGUAGCUAAUACCGCAUAAUGUCGCAAGACCAAAGAGGGGGACCUUCGGGCCUCUUGCCAUCGGAUGUGCCCAGAUGGGAUUAGCUUGUUGGUGGGGUAACGGCUCACCAAGGCGACGAUCCCUAGCUGGUCUGAGAGGAUGACCAGCCACACUGGAACUGAGACACGGUCCAGACUCCUACGGGAGGCAGCAGUGGGGAAUAUUGCACAAUGGGCGCAAGCCUGAUGCAGCCAUGCCGCGUGUAUGAAGAAGGCCUUCGGGUUGUAAAGUACUUUCAGCGGGGAGGAAGGGAGUAAAGUUAAUACCUUUGCUCAUUGACGUUACCCGCAGAAGAAGCACCGGCUAACUCCGUGCCAGCAGCCGCGGUAAUACGGAGGGUGCAAGCGUUAAUCGGAAUUACUGGGCGUAAAGCGCACGCAGGCGGUUUGUUAAGUCAGAUGUGAAAUCCCCGGGCUCAACCUGGGAACUGCAUCUGAUACUGGCAAGCUUGAGUCUCGUAGAGGGGGGUAGAAUUCCAGGUGUAGCGGUGAAAUGCGUAGAGAUCUGGAGGAAUACCGGUGGCGAAGGCGGCCCCCUGGACGAAGACUGACGCUCAGGUGCGAAAGCGUGGGGAGCAAACAGGAUUAGAUACCCUGGUAGUCCACGCCGUAAACGAUGUCGACUUGGAGGUUGUGCCCUUGAGGCGUGGCUUCCGGAGCUAACGCGUUAAGUCGACCGCCUGGGGAGUACGGCCGCAAGGUUAAAACUCAAAUGAAUUGACGGGGGCCCGCACAAGCGGUGGAGCAUGUGGUUUAAUUCGAUGCAACGCGAAGAACCUUACCUGGUCUUGACAUCCACAGAACUUUCCAGAGAUGGAUUGGUGCCUUCGGGAACUGUGAGACAGGUGCUGCAUGGCUGUCGUCAGCUCGUGUUGUGAAAUGUUGGGUUAAGUCCCGCAACGAGCGCAACCCUUAUCCUUUGUUGCCAGCGGUCCGGCCGGGAACUCAAAGGAGACUGCCAGUGAUAAACUGGAGGAAGGUGGGGAUGACGUCAAGUCAUCAUGGCCCUUACGACCAGGGCUACACACGUGCUACAAUGGCGCAUACAAAGAGAAGCGACCUCGCGAGAGCAAGCGGACCUCAUAAAGUGCGUCGUAGUCCGGAUUGGAGUCUGCAACUCGACUCCAUGAAGUCGGAAUCGCUAGUAAUCGUGGAUCAGAAUGCCACGGUGAAUACGUUCCCGGGCCUUGUACACACCGCCCGUCACACCAUGGGAGUGGGUUGCAAAAGAAGUAGGUAGCUUAACCUUCGGGAGGGGGCUUACCACUUUGUGAUUCAUGACUGGGGUGAAGUCGUAACAAGGUAACCGUAGGGGAACCUGCGGUUGGAUCACCU